Long non-coding RNA from Diorhabda carinulata, 4453 nucleotides. RefSeq lists it as uncharacterized. The record is from RefSeq and is a predicted model, not a curated record. The transcript is spliced from 2 exons. NCBI's taxonomy places the organism in Eukaryota, Metazoa, Arthropoda, Insecta, Coleoptera, Chrysomelidae.
ACAGAGAAACUUUUUUUCUUAAUAGUUUUGGUCUGAGUGUUCAUUACAAUAUUUUACAACAAAUAAAUUCUUGUUAACACAUUUCGAGCCUCUUUGAUCAACUGACAAUUCCAUUCUUGAAUCAGUAUACAUCAUUGGGGAUAUAAGGGUAAUAUUUCAACGAGAUAUUAUGAGAUUUCUGGCGCUGUAGUAAAUCUGGAAGUAUUUGACUGGAACAUUCAGCCGCACCCUAGUGACAGUCGUUAAGAUGUCAUCAACCGACUCGAAAUACAUUACUGCAGGGAAAAGAAAGAAGUAGCAGUGCGAUAGAUUUGGUGAAUAUCCUAGCUGGGACAACACUGAAAUCUUUUAAGAAGCUAAAAACUGGUUUCGCUAUAUCUUUUUGCACUCUGUUGAUCCCUUUCCCAAGUAUGAUACAGGCUUAGCAGUGAAAUACUCUAUUCACUUUUUUAUCUAGGGAGAACAAACACCUCAUAAAUCACAUGGUGGAUGUCAAGGGAGUAGAUGAGUAUCGUUUUCAUUUUCGACUUGCUUAUGCGAGCUUUUGGAUCACUUGGUGAAAGUCACUGUUGACUCUGGUUCUUUGUUUCGGAAUAGUAGUAAAAGAGUUAAUUUUCACCAAUGAUAAUGCGGUGAAACAGAGUACGAUCAUAUUUAGCUUAUCCUAAGCAGUCUACUGCGAUUUGGUAUUCCAUGUUGUCGUAACUCAUGUCAAGAGUUUUUCGGAACAAUUCUUGCAUUCUUACCGCAAAAUAGUGAGUUAAAAUCUGCCUGAAGAUUACGCUGUUGAAAUCAUUAUGUCCUGAAGUAAAUCACACCUUUAAUAGUAGAUCCUAGUGAAUAGACUGCUUUUCCUACUCCCGCUUCGUCUUUCUGGCUUUUACGUCUCUUCCUGAACAUUUUAAUAUUUCAUUAUAGGUUGCAGACGCCUAAUCUCUCAAUUUUGGCAACGUGUUAUUCUUCAUGAUGAGCACAAAAACACGGAUAAAUAAAACACAUAGUCAGACAGAACUAAAGAUGGCAAGCAGCCAGAAACAAUAUGUAUCAAUGUAGCAGGAUUACCCCAUUAUGUGGUAAAAAUUUCGUUGUUGGGUUAUCACUAAGCCGAAAUUUCUGUAACCAUUAGUGGUAUGGUGUAUCAUAAGCUCACCAUCCAUUUCUAAAUACUGUAACUUGAUUAUAAAUAAGCGCGUCAGAUAGUUCAAUUAUGAUUGUUCUUGUAGUGGUAGCACUGAACAGUAUAUUCGCUACUUAAUUGACAGACUACGUAGGUAUAUGUUAUACAUGAUAUUUGACGAUUGAAUAUUCAAGAAAAAAAUUCCGGCUUUUACUAUUUUCCGCCUGUUAGGUGGUAUCCACGUAAAUAUAUUCCUUGGUCAUAUAUUUUCAUUCAUUUCUUUGAGACCCUUGAACCAUUUAAGCUAUUUUCUUUCCAAAAACCAUCUAUUAAAAAAUCAUUUCAAUAGACUCUAGUAUCUUCAUUUCUGACUUCAUUUCCUGUAUAAUAAAAAUAAAAUAAAAUAAAAGUGCCAUUUUUAUAGCCAAUAAUCCUUAUUUUAUGUCCAAACUUUGAAUUGAUAAUAUAACAAUGUUUCUGUUAAUAAUUUGAGUACUAUUUUUUUAUAUACUUUGCCACACUUUGUGAAACAAAUAAAACCUGAUUACUUUCAUUUGUAUUUCGAAUUUGAAGCACAAUUUCUCACAAACAGAGCCCAAUAAUAUUGGUCUUAAUUAUUCGGAAGUUUCAGCAAAAUCAAAGUUUUACUAUUUACUUGUUACUCCAGUUCUAUCUACAAAUUGUUAAUUUCAUUCGUAAUUUAGUGACAACUUAAUAUCAUUUUUUCAUAUUUUUAUUUGCUACUGCAAUUCCUGUGAACUCUCCUGUUUUUUGAACAGAAGUUGAUAAAAUAGUACAUCACCAGUUUCUUUAGAGUUCUCCUUUCAUUUUAACUUCAGCUUUUGUUGUUAUCAAAGUCAUUAUUUUAUAAAGCACCUCAAAACCAUUUGAAAUGAACGAGUAGUACAACUUUUAUCUAUACAAUCAUUUGCUUACUUGAAACCUAUUAGAUGUUUGUAAGUAUAACUCCUUCUUCCUAAUAAAAUAAUGAAAAUCUGAUUAAUCCCAAAACACCCAAUUGUAACGUGAUACUGGUAAGUCGCCUAUUGUUUCUUCAGAAUAGGAUUGUAAUCUAUCAGCAAUAACCCUAGAGACUACUUCAAAGUGGUGCCCGAUAGUGAAAUUACAAGAUAUUUUUCACAACUCAGUUUGUCUCUCAUCCAUGGUUGAAAUAACAACAUAAGUUUGAAUUUAUGCCCCAAGAAUAUUCAAUUCAGUCUUUGUAUUCAGAAUUUUUCUGUACAAUCGUUUUAAAACUUUUAAUUCACUAUUUGUAUAUAGAUAUUUCAUAAUGCUGAUAAUAGAUAUCUAAUAAUGCAACAUAUGUUGUACUACUGAAAUAUAUCCCAAUGAUAAAAUAUUUUCAUUUUUUCAAGAUAAAAUUUUGUUAAUGCAAUGUCAGGAAUGAUAAGGAACUCUCAUGUUUUUGCGAACAGGAGCGAUAAAAUUAUUUAGUUUCUAAAAAGUUGUUUUUUGAAUAUAUUAAUGAACUUGAACAAUGUCAAUGUUUCUGAUUGUUAUGGUUUAUAAGUAUAUAUAAUGAUAGAAUAAAGAUCAGCUAUACUUUAUAUUGUGUAUUUGAACAUUCUGAUACAAUUUACCAUGUAUUUGUAUGUAUUUUUCUUCUUCUUCGUCGCUGUAGUGAGUAUAAUAAAUUGAACGACUCAUAAAUUCUUGAUAAACUUAUUGUUCUUAUAUGAUAUCAACUAAAGAUUUGAUGUAAUCCUAUAUUAUAUCACUAAAUAAAUUUGCUCCUUAGUUUCAUUGAGAUGAUGAAAUAUCUUAUUCAUCUUUAUAGAAUCUAAAAGAGCUCAUGCGUAUAAGUUAUUAAGUAAUACUAUAACAAAUUUCUAUCAUUAUAAAUAUACAAAUUGUCAUCAUACUUCUCUAUCCAUAUAUAAAAGAAAUCUUCAAAUAAAAAUGUCGUAAGUUGUCUGAUCUCUACAUAUGAAUAUUGAGGAUUAUUUAAAUCAUCUUACAAAGCUAUUAUCAUCAUAACUUCAAGGUCUAUGAGAGAGAUAUUAUUGACAAAUAUUUGUGCAGAAAAUAAUAUGAAUGAAGAGAAAGCUAAGAUACGAAAAAGUUCGAGAUAAUGCAACAGAAGGAUCAAAAAUAAAGUACCGGCUCCUCCAAUUGCAACUGCUAAAGAAAUAGAAAAAAAUAAAAUUCUAGAUCUCGUGAACUUGAUCCAGCUUAGCAAAUGAGUGGAUACAAGACAAUAAUAGAUCUCAAAGAGCUAACAUUGAAUUGAAAAAUAAUGAAUCAAGUAGAGGAUAUGAAUUACUAUUUAUUAUACAAAGAAUACAAGACUACUGAAAAAAAAUCCGAAAACAAAGCUGAGCCCAAUGAGUAGAUUAGUUAAUAUCUUAGUUGGAACUUAUCAGAUUGUGUUCAAAAGAAAAAUUAACAGGAUAUUUAAAAAUAAUGUAUUCAUACCACUAAGAAAAUCGUAACCUAUAGAAUCCAUUAGGUUUGGAUAUAACUGGAAAAUAUCUAAUUCAAUGGUUGAGAUAGGAAAAUAGGACUUAAUUGCGACAUAACAAGUAGUUUUGAGAGAAUAUGGAUUCAUUUACAGUUAUUAAAUUGAGUGUUGUUUGAAACGUCUCCAUGCGACCCAAAAUUAUUUUGGAAAUACUGCAUUUUUUAUAUGAAUAAAGAAAUUGAGAACCUUACACAUUAUGGAGGUUCACUAUUAGGAAAUAUCAGGAUCACUUUGUGAUUACAAAAAACUCCAUAAAAUUGUAUGGGCUACUAGAGCUAGUGAAAUUGCCUCUCAUUGUCUUUUUUAUAAGCAUACAUAUGAUGAAAAUUUAGUCAUAUAUUCCACUUACACAUAAAUAAAUCAAUGCACUUGAUUUCUCAUAAUCUUAAUAUAUACAAGGUUUUCAAUAAAUAACAUUUAAUGUUUCAAGUAGAUCUCAGCUGAAGCCUCACCAACAUUGCCUAGACAUUUCAGUAAAGCGCACGAUAAGUGCCAAUCCGACCCAGCCUCACACGUUGAUGAAGCGAUUUUAGAUCAAGUGAGACGUGGCGAAAAAGUAAGUGCUCCUAAUCUGCCGAAACACACUCUCUGUAUGAAUAUAGAAACUGGAGUUCAAAGCCAAAAUGGAGACAUAAUUGUGGAAAAUCUGAGAAAACUUCUGGAGAGUGCUGGAGCUGAUAAAGAGAAAGUAGACGAAGCUAUAAGCAAAUGUGGUACUAGGUCUUCUGCUAUCGCCGAAGAAGCUGCUGUGGCUUUAACAAACUGUGUCAUAAAAUAUAGACCAGUACGCCAACAUCAUGACUAAACGAUUCUGUACCAUAUUUUUUAUUUGUGAAUAUAUAUUUUGUAACUUA